AGAGUUUGAUCCUGGCUCAGGACGAACGCUGGCGGCGUGCCUAACACAUGCAAGUCGAACGGAACUUAGUUGAAGGAAUUCUUCGGAAGGACAUUGGUUAAGUUUAGUGGCGGACGGGUGAGUAACGCGUGAGUAACCUGCCUCCGAGAGGGGAAUAACAAUCUGAAAAGAUUGCUAAUACCGCAUAACAUAGCGAAGUCGCAUGGCAGCGCUAUCAAAGAUUUAUCGCUCGGAGAUGGACUCGCGUCCGAUUAGUUAGUUGGUGAGGUAACGGCUCACCAAGACCGCGAUCGGUAGCCGGACUGAGAGGUUGAACGGCCACAUUGGGACUGAGACACGGCCCAGACUCCUACGGGAGGCAGCAGUGGGGGAUAUUGCGCAAUGGGGGAAACCCUGACGCAGCAACGCCGCGUGAAGGAUGAAGGUUUUCGGAUUGUAAACUUCUUUUAUUAAGGACGAAAAAUGACGGUACUUAAUGAAUAAGCUCCGGCUAACUACGUG
This 501-nucleotide ribosomal RNA is filed under the name uncultured Ruminococcus sp. RNAcentral's name for it is "bacterial SSU rRNA". It matches the Rfam family "Bacterial small subunit ribosomal RNA", at positions 8 to 507 of the family's 1533-position model. Lineage: Bacteria; Bacillati; Bacillota; Clostridia; Eubacteriales; Oscillospiraceae. The record is from RNAcentral.